Small nuclear RNA from Thunnus maccoyii (southern bluefin tuna), 107 nucleotides. The record is from RefSeq and is a predicted model, not a curated record. Lineage: Eukaryota; Metazoa; Chordata; Actinopteri; Scombriformes; Scombridae.
GUGCUUGCUACGGCAGCACGUAUGAAAAAUUGGAUUCGAUACAGAGAAGAUUAGCAUGGCCCCUGCGAAAGGAUGACACGCAAAAUCGUGAAGCGUUUCCACAUUUU